This 567-nucleotide unclassified non-coding RNA is filed under the name Hevea brasiliensis (rubber tree). Lineage: Eukaryota; Viridiplantae; Streptophyta; Magnoliopsida; Malpighiales; Euphorbiaceae. The record is from RNAcentral.
UAAUAUCAAGUAAAUAGAAAAGAUAAAGGGAAAGUAUUAAAAUGUAUCAAGUGGUGGUUUGGGCCAUUUUCAAGUAUAUUCAUGUUGUUUGGGUUUGGCAAACCAAUACCAUAUGGUUAAAUCUGUUAACAAAGAAGGUCCCAACACUUUAAUGCAAUUAAUGGUUGCUCACAUGGUUAUUGACGUGGCAGGCGUAAAAAUAAUGCCACGUCAACAGCUAUUAAUAGUAUUAGAAUGUUUGGACCUUCUCCAUUAACGAACUUAAUCACAGGGUACUAGUUUGUCAAAACCCAAACCACAUGACCUUAUUUAAAAAUGGCCUGAACCUUAUGAUAAUUUUUUGUACUUUACCCAAAGACAAAUGGUGACUGUCAAAACGUAACAGAGGUGUGCUUAGCUGUGCCUUGUGACUGGAAAAAGUUGUGUGCCUAGGCAAUGAAUGCACCUCAGUUAGGUUGCCCAUUGGUGGCACAGUGCUACACUUGAUGCUUGUUGAGCCUCUCCUUGAGCAACUAUGAGAAAAUGAAUGCGUCUGCUGAUAAUUUGCAAUUUGCAAAGUGCUGCUAA